This 1449-nucleotide ribosomal RNA is filed under the name uncultured bacterium. RNAcentral describes it as "bacterial SSU rRNA". It matches the Rfam family "Bacterial small subunit ribosomal RNA". The record is from RNAcentral.
GACGAACGCUGGCGGCGUGCUUAACACAUGCAAGUCGAACGCUGAAGCCCGAGCUUGCUCGGGUGGAUGAGUGGCGAACGGGUGAGUAACACGUGAGUAACCUGCCCCUGACUCUGGGAUAAGCGCUGGAAACGGUGUCUAAUACUGGAUAUGAGCAACGGUCGCAUGGCCUGUUGUUGGAAAGAUUUAUCGGUUGGGGAUGGACUCGCGGCCUAUCAGCUAGAUGGUGAGGUAAUGGCUCACCAUGGCGACGACGGGUAGCCGGCCUGAGAGGGUGACCGGCCACACUGGGACUGAGACACGGCCCAGACUCCUACGGGAGGCAGCAGUGGGGAAUAUUGCACAAUGGGCGCAAGCCUGAUGCAGCAACGCCGCGUGAGGGAUGACGGCCUUCGGGUUGUAAACCUCUUUUAGUAGGGAAGAAGCGAAAGUGACGGUACCUGCAGAAAAAGCACCGGCUAACUACGUGCCAGCAGCCGCGGUAAUACGUAGGGUGCAAGCGUUGUCCGGAAUUAUUGGGCGUAAAGAGCUCGUAGGCGGCUUGUCGCGUCUGCUGUGAAAUCCCGGAGCUCAACUCCGGGCCUGCAGUGGGUACGGGCAGGCUAGAGUGCGGUAGGGGAGAUUGGAAUUCCUGGUGUAGCGGUGGAAUGCGCAGAUAUCAGGAGGAACACCGAUGGCGAAGGCAGAUCUCUGGGCCGUAACUGACGCUGAGGAGCGAAAGCAUGGGGAGCGAACAGGAUUAGAUACCCUGGUAGUCCAUGCCGUAAACGUUGGGAACUAGAUGUAGGGCCUGUUCCACGGGUUCUGUGUCGUAGCUAACGCAUUAAGUUCCCCGCCUGGGGAGUACGGCCGCAAGGCUAAAACUCAAAGGAAUUGACGGGGGCCCGCACAAGCGGCGGAGCAUGCGGAUUAAUUCGAUGCAACGCGAAGAACCUUACCAAGGCUUGACAUAUAGCAGAACACCGUAGAGAUACGGGACUCUUUGGACACUGUUAUACAGGUGGUGCAUGGUUGUCGUCAGCUCGUGUCGUGAGAUGUUCGGUUAAGUCCGGCAACGAGCGCAACCCUCGUCCUAUGUUGCCAGCACGUUAUGGUGGGAACUCAUGGGAUACUGCCGUGGUCAACACGGAGGAAGGUGGGGAUGACGUCAAAUCAUCAUGCCCCUUAUGUCUUGGGCUUCACGCAUGCUACAAUGGCCGGUACAAUGGGCUGCGAUACCGCGAGGUGGAGCGAAUCCCAAAAAGCCGGUCUCAGUUCGGAUUGGGGUCUGCAACUCGACCCCAUGAAGUCGGAGUCGCUAGUAAUCGCAGAUCAGCAACGCUGCGGUGAAUACGUUCCCGGGCCUUGUACACACCGCCCGUCAAGUCAUGAAAGUCGGUAACACCCGAAGCCGAUGGCCUAACCCCUUGUGGGAGGGAGUCGUCGAAGGUGGGACUGGUGAUUAGGACU